GAGACUCAAAUAUGAGGAGCAGCUCAAAAGUCACUCUGAGCAAGCUUCCAAAUUUAAGGCUCAGGAGGAAACGGUGAAAGCUCUGCAGGGUCAGGUUGCGGACCUGAAGGUGGAGUUGAAACUUGCUCUAGAAAACAACCAUCCUAGAGUCUCCACCCGACCACAAGUCCCCCUGCAAAGAGAAGGCUCCCUACAAACAGAGGAGACCAAGGAUAGACAGACCUCCAAUCAACCAGGGAGGUCUAAAGAAAGAUGGACCUCAAAUCAACCAGGGAGGUCUGAAGAAAGACAGACCUCAAAUCAACCAGAGAGGUCUGAGGAAAGAUGGGCCUCCAAUCAACCAGGGAGGUCCGAGGAAAGACAGACCACCAAUCAACCAGGGAGGUCCGAAGAAAGACGGACCUCCAAUCAACCAGGGAGGUCUGAGGAAAGACAGACAUCCAUGCGACCAACCUCCACUGGUUGCAUGGAGGGUCUUCAUGUUGCCGUUGGCACGAAGGCCAAGCUAAGCCCGGCUCGGCCUUUACACCGACCCACACCCAGGUGGCACUAACCUAGGUCAUUAUUCAAGCCCAGGUUUUGCUAACACUUUGCAUUAUGAAAAUUUGAGGCUUUGCACAAAUUUGGCAAAGCCUCAAACUGUUUAACACAUAUUCAUCCAUCAUCUAACAUAACAUACCUAUGUAAGUUAGAUGAUGGAUGAAUAUGUGUUAAACAGUUGACAAUAGAAUACGAAACAGA
Poecilia latipinna (sailfin molly) is the source of this 741-nucleotide long non-coding RNA. RefSeq lists it as uncharacterized. Lineage: Eukaryota; Metazoa; Chordata; Actinopteri; Cyprinodontiformes; Poeciliidae. The transcript is spliced from 2 exons. The record is from RefSeq and is a predicted model, not a curated record.